Molecule: ribosomal RNA, 254 nt
Filed under: uncultured bacterium
Lineage: Bacteria
Description: partial 16S ribosomal RNA
Rfam family: Bacterial small subunit ribosomal RNA
Source: RNAcentral
UACGAAGGGGGCUAGCGUUGCUCGGAAUCACUGGGCGUAAAGGGUGCGUAGGCGGGUCUUUAAGUCAGGGGUGAAAUCCUGGAGCUCAACUCCAGAACUGCCUUUGAUACUGAAGAUCUUGAGUUCGGGAGAGGUGAGUGGAACUGCGAGUGUAGAGGUGAAAUUCGUAGAUAUUCGCAAGAACACCAGUGGCGAAGGCGGCUCACUGGCCCGAUACUGACGCUGAGGCACGAAAGCGUGGGGGAGCAAACAGG